This is a long non-coding RNA of Polistes canadensis, 1326 nucleotides long. RefSeq lists it as uncharacterized. The transcript has 3 exons. The record is from RefSeq and is a predicted model, not a curated record. Lineage: Eukaryota; Metazoa; Arthropoda; Insecta; Hymenoptera; Vespidae.
GCGCAUUUACGGUGCGAGUGUAUAUACAUUAUUAGUGCAUUUCAUUAGUUGACAGUAGCUUAUUAUCGCAUUUCAGAAUCGGAAGCGUCAAUUGCAAGUAUUACAACAAUGGCCGUGAGAAAAAUCGAUCCUUCCGGUGUGGUGGUACGCGAGGAACAGAAAGUGAGAAAGAGCGUUGGACGAAGGAAAUGAUCGAUUUAAAUUCCAUCCGGUGCCCGGUGAUCGUUCCAUCCGCGUUACGAUGUAUCCAUGCUCGCAUGGAAAAGCAAAUUUUCUUGCAGUUUUGAAGAAUCCUAAUGCUUAACGUCUUUCGCCGUACAAACGUUUACGUAAUCGUCUAUCAAGCAAUACUAUUAACGUCGCCACUGUUACGGAUUCUGCUUAUAGAGAGCUUCAAACUUACUUACGUAAAAGCUUUAAAUAAGCAUUUGUGUACGUACACCUGCAUAAGAGGGCAUCCGUAGAAAAAAAAAAAAAGAUACGGUGCGAGACAGUUUUGAUAGAGAAUCUAAGUAUAAUCGUGUCUGGAAAGGGCUUCAAGAGAGAGAGAGAGGGAGAGAGAGAGAGAGAAAGAGUGAAAACUGACCUUGAGAAAGACACCCAACACCGCAAGACCGUCCGAUGCUUUUGCAGCUUCCGCAAAUGUCUUGUACUUGCUUGUGUUCCAAUGAACCAAAUGGAGCUAAAAAGAUCAACAGAAUAAGUAAUACAGGCCGUAAUACCUAAGAGUUACUCUGUUCGUUGGUCGUCGCGUAAAGACAAAUAAAAAUACAUAAAAACUACUUACAUACAUAUCUUAUUGUUAGAAGAAAAAGUCUAGGAUUAGAAGUAAACUCGUAAGUUCGAGCGAGCGACCGCGACGUGAUUCAUGCUCCACGUGAAAUGAAUUAACAACACGAUACACGAGACUCGACGUCGAUCGCUAAACCGAGACAACAACGACGACCUACAACCUACUUCUUCCUCAAAUCUUCUAUUUUUUACUCGUAGAAAGAAUUUUGAUGAAAAAGUGUCGUCUAUCAAUAGAAUGAAAUGCAAACAACGAAACUUUUCCUCCGUUUCUAAUAAUUCUAUAUGUUAACUAUAUAUUGCAUAAGGUCAAAGUGUCGAUAUAUAAAUUUAUAAAUUAAAAUUUGGAAUGUAAAAAUAAACAUUUCGAUGAUUUUUUUUUCGCGCGCAAGUAUUUUUAAUUAAUUAUUAAAAACUUUAUUAUUCUCUCCAUUUUAAACGUCAAGUUUAACACUUUAUAGUUUUUAGGUAAAUGCUUAAAAAAUUCUAAUAACGUGAUUUAAGUAAAGAUUAUGCAAAAAAUAUAGAGAAUUCGUA